RNAcentral lists this ribosomal RNA (495 nucleotides) under uncultured bacterium. RNAcentral's name for it is "partial 16S ribosomal RNA". It matches the Rfam family "Bacterial small subunit ribosomal RNA", at positions 28 to 507 of the family's 1533-position model. The record is from RNAcentral.
GACGAACGCUGGCGGCGUGCCUAAUACAUGCAAGUAGAACGCUGAAGGAGGAGCUUGCUUCUCUGGAUGAGUUGCGAACGGGUGAGUAACGCGUAGGUAACCUGCCUGGUAGCGGGGGAUAACUUUUGGAAACGAUAGCUAAUACCGCAUAAUAGUAGAUGUUGCAUGACAUUUGCUUAAAAGUUGCACUUGCAUCACUACCAGAUGCCCCUGCGUUGUAUUAGCUUGUUGGUGUGGUAACGGCUCACCAAGGCGGCGAUACAUAGCCGACCUGAGAGGGUGGUUGGCCACACUGGGACUGAGACACGGCCCAAGCUGCUAAGGGAAGGAGCAAGAGGGAAACUUUGGCAAUGGGGGGAAAGCUGAACGAAGAACGCCGCGGGAGGGAAGAAGGGUUUCGGGUCGGAAAGGCCUGUUGUAAGGGAAGAAAGAGUGUGAGAGUGGAAAGUUGACGCUGUGACGGUAUCUUACCAAAAAGGAACGGCUAACUACGUG